CCUGGCGGAAGGCUAAAAUAACCUCCGAGUUUUUAAACUUAUGGAAUCUGUCUGAACAAAUUUUGAACCUUUGAAAUAUUUUAAAACUUUCAGCAACGGAUCUCUUGGUUCUCGCAUCGAUGAACAACGCAGCGAAAUGCGAUAAGUAGUGUGAAUUGCAGAAUUCCGUGAAUCAUCGAAUCUUUGAACGCACAUUGCGCCUUCUGGUAUUCCGGGAGGCAUGCCUGUUCGAGAGUCAUUGACACAAACCACAUCGUCGACCCUCACCUUUCUAAAGGGGGGUGGGGGGUCGUCGGCGGUCCUGGUGGAUGAGGGGGGGAAUAGUUGGCAAAUAUAUAUAAUAAUCUCCUCCCCACCGAAAUUGAGAGGCAGUCUGUGAGUGAUAAAAACCCACACAUGUCCGUUUAUGGCGUUGUAUAGACGGCUCUCAAAUUGUGGAGCCAACUCUGUUCCCUUGUAACAAACUUCCCUGGGUCUUACCUCGACUAGUCUUCCAAAGCUCCUAAAAUCUCAAGGGUUUGACCUCGGAUCAGGU
RNAcentral lists this unclassified non-coding RNA (535 nucleotides) under uncultured Genea. Its description in RNAcentral is "sequence contains ITS1, 5.8S rRNA gene, ITS2". The stretch from base 85 to 238 matches the Rfam family "5.8S ribosomal RNA". Lineage: Eukaryota; Fungi; Ascomycota; Pezizomycetes; Pezizales; Pyronemataceae. The record is from RNAcentral.